Molecule: ribosomal RNA, 447 nt
Filed under: uncultured bacterium
Lineage: Bacteria
Description: bacterial SSU rRNA
Rfam family: Bacterial small subunit ribosomal RNA
Source: RNAcentral
UCGGGAAUUUUGGGCAAUGGGCGAAAGCCUGACCCAGCAACGCCGCGUGAAGGAUGAAGUAUUUCGGUAUGUAAACUUCGAAAGAAUAGGAAGAAUAAAUGACGGUACUAUUUAUAAGGUCCGGCUAACUACGUGCCAGCAGCCGCGGUAAUACGUAGGGACCAAGCGUUGUUCGGAUUUACUGGGCGUAAAGGGCGCGUAGGCGGCAAUUCAAGUCAUCUGUGAAAUCUCCGGGCUUAACUCGGAACGGUCAGAUGAUACUGCUUUGCUAGAGUGCAGAAGGGGCAAUCGGAAUUCUUGGUGUAGCGGUGAAAUGCGUAGAUAUCAAGAGGAACACCAGAGGCGAAGGCGGCGACCUGGACAGGUACUGACACUAAACUACGAAAGCGUGGGGAGCAAACAGGAUUAGAUACCCCUGUAGUCCCUGAGCGGGCUGGCAAGGCGCAU